This is a non-coding RNA of Paramuricea clavata, 73 nucleotides long. NCBI's taxonomy places the organism in Eukaryota, Metazoa, Cnidaria, Anthozoa, Malacalcyonacea, Plexauridae. The record is from the annotation of a GenBank genome assembly.
GACCGCGUAGCUCAGUUAGCAGAGCAUUGGGCUAGUAUUCCAAAGGUCGUAGGUUCGAUUCCCACCGUGGUCA